Molecule: ribosomal RNA, 253 nt
Filed under: uncultured bacterium
Lineage: Bacteria
Description: partial 16S ribosomal RNA
Rfam family: Bacterial small subunit ribosomal RNA
Source: RNAcentral
UACGGAGGGUGCAAGCGUUAUCCGGAUUUAUUGGGUUUAAAGGGUCCGUAGGCGGAUCUGUAAGUCAGUGGUGAAAUCUCACAGCUUAACUGUGAAACUGCCAUUGAUACUGCAGGUCUUGAGUGUUAUUGAAGUAGCUGGAAUAAGUAGUGUAGCGGUGAAAUGCAUAGAUAUUACUUAGAACACCAAUUGCGAAGGCAGGUUACUAAGCAACAACUGACGCUGAUGGACGAAAGCGUGGGGAGCGAGCAGG